Non-coding RNA from Equus caballus (horse), 1218 nucleotides. Lineage: Eukaryota; Metazoa; Chordata; Mammalia; Perissodactyla; Equidae. The record is from RefSeq and is a predicted model, not a curated record.
UAGUCUCUAAAUAAAAGAGCACUACCGCCAGAUCUUGAGAGUCCAAGAAAUCUUUCUUUUGACUCCUCGGCUCACCGACCCCGCAUCAUUUCUGGUGGCCCGUACGGGGAACUUGCUUCAUAGGCUUGUGAGCUCAAGUUCUGGACACAUUGGUUAUAUUACCAAGGCUUUGACUGGAAUGUCAUAUUUGAGAGAGACGUACAGGCUCAGACAUAACAAGAUAGCUGUUCAGGAACAAAGAUUGGACUUUCUGGAAAUAAAGCCACUUGGAAAUAUGGGUCUGGUACCUUGUUUACAGAGAUUCUGGCAAUCUUACCCGGGAAAUACUGCUUUUGGAAUGAUCUGGAAAAAAAUUCUGUUCCAUGGAUUUCAUCACGUGAUUUUAUCACUUUUACUUCACUUCUCAUUAACUUUUUAUCAGAAUUUUCUUAGUUCUUUAAUAAAACCACUUAUAGAUAAGAAAAAAGGGCACCUUUCUUUUACAUCCAAAUUAAGAGUUUGUAAUUUCUCAAUUGUUUUAUUGAAGCAUCCCAAAAUGUGUUUCUAAUUUCAGUUAAAAUAGUCUGUCUCAAACUCCUCCUUAGCCAGCUCCCCAGACUACUGGUGGGCCCUCAGCACCUCCAAACACGAGAGAAAUGGUGCAGUAGAAGUUGACAUGGAGAGAGACAGCAGCCUUAACAUGACUAAAAUGUCUUACUUUUGCAAAACUCAGAAAAACAUGUAUGUGAACACUCUGCUAGGGCCUAUCCUGAGACCUCAGAAAGAGCCUGUGCAAAGGAGGGGCCCUGAAGCUCAAUUUCAUUAGCUUCACAAUAAAUCCACACUUAGUCAUCAAUAAUUAACUGUCAAGCACUGUACUAAGAGAUUUAUAUGUACUGACGUAAUUUUAAUGCCCAUAAGAGACAGCAAUGCAGAAAUAGAGGCCCAGAGAUUUUAAGUAACUUCAUCCCACAGCCAGACAGUGGUGGAAUCACUAUUCAAUAGCAGACAAUCUGACUCUAGGACCCAUUCUCUUAAUUACUAUUUCACAUAGUGGCUCUAGUAUUCAGGAAGAAGGAGAAUAAAGCUUCAAACUGAACAUAAGCUCGAUCAUUUGGCUAUACUUUCUAUUAAAUUCAUGCAAAAUGGUUGCAUCAGUAGUUUAGGUUAGCCUAAACCAAGGCAAUUUGGAUUUGGAUGUUUUAUUAGGAAAUGUAAUCAAUAAAUUAUUCAGCUGCA